AAACAGCAGCAGCAGCAGAAACAGCAGCAGAAACAGCAGCAGCACCUGAGGAAACACCAGCAGCAGCGGCAGACAGCACCGCUGAGACGGCAGCAAGCUCCUCAGAGGCUGCAGCUCCAGAGCAAGAUAAAGGAGAGGCCACAGCAGCUGAUUCAGAGCCCAACACAGAGGAAGCACCAGCUCCCAGCGAGUGACGUGCAACGCGAGUGGCUGCGCAGAUGAGUUUUGUGUCUCACCUUGUCUGUAUGCGUGAGUGAAAGUACGUCUGGGUGUGAAAGACAUCGCCUCGUUGCCAAGAUGCCGACCCCGUGACAACCGCUUUCAGUCGGGGUCCUCAGUCACCACUGUGCCUUUUUCCCCCCUCCCCUCCUCUCUUUCUUGAUGGUUUCUACUGUACAUAGACAGAGUUCUACAGCACUUAGCGGGUGUGUUUAUUUUCAGAGGAUUAUCUAGAGAAAGUUCUAUUUAUUAUCUGUAUUGAAAUUUAUACGACCUUUACUACACACUAUGUCUGCUAAUCUAAGAGUCCAUUCAGAACUUUUCUACAAAACCACAACUCUUGAAAAACAAACAAAGCCAAAGUAUAUUUGACUGAUAAAAUUAUAUUAUUUUUUUGGGGUAGCUGGCUUUGAUUUUAUGACCAUAUUUGUAAUGAAGCUGCUCCAAUGUACAGCUGAUUUGGAAAAUGAAUUUCUGAUGAGCAUGUAAGAGAUAAGCGUAAACCUGAGGGCUUUUUUGUUGUUUGUUUUUUUGUUUCCGAGGUGUCAUGAUUUCUCUCUGGGAAGAAAACCUGUAAAACUGUCAAAAAAUUAAAAAGGUCACCUUAACAAUAA
Stegastes partitus (bicolor damselfish) is the source of this 833-nucleotide long non-coding RNA. RefSeq lists it as uncharacterized. The transcript is spliced from 3 exons. The record is from RefSeq and is a predicted model, not a curated record. Lineage: Eukaryota; Metazoa; Chordata; Actinopteri; Pomacentridae.